GAUGAACGCUGGCGGCGUGCCUAAUACAUGCAAGUCGAGCGAACGGACGAGAAGCUUGCUUCUCUGAUGUUAGCGGCGGACGGGUGAGUAACACGUGGAUAACCUACCUAUAAGACUGGGAUAACUUCGGGAAACCGGAGCUAAUACCGGAUGAUAUUUUGAACUGCAUGGUUCAAAAGUGAAAGACGGUCUUGCUGUCACUUAUAGAUGGAUCCGCGCUGCAUUAGUUAGUUGGUAAGGUAACGGCUUACCAAGGCAACGAUGCAUAGCCGACCUGAGAGGGUGAUCGGACACACUGGAACUGAGACACGGUCCAGACUCCUACGGGAGGCAGCAGUAGGGAAUCUUACGCAAUGGGCGAAAGCCUGACGGAGCAACGCCGCGUGAGUGAUGAAGGUCUUCGGAUCGUAAAACUCUGUUAUUAGGGAAGAACAUAUGUGUAAGUAACUGUGCACAUCUUGACGGUACCUAAUCAGAAAGCCACGGCUAACUACGUG
This 497-nucleotide ribosomal RNA is filed under the name uncultured bacterium. Its description in RNAcentral is "partial 16S ribosomal RNA". It matches the Rfam family "Bacterial small subunit ribosomal RNA", at positions 28 to 507 of the family's 1533-position model. The record is from RNAcentral.